Molecule: ribosomal RNA, 302 nt
Filed under: uncultured bacterium
Lineage: Bacteria
Description: partial 16S ribosomal RNA
Rfam family: Bacterial small subunit ribosomal RNA
Source: RNAcentral
GCAGUAGCCGCGGGAAUACGUAGGGUGCAAGCGUUAAUCGGAAUUACUGGGCGUAAAGCGUGCGCAGGCGGUUUUGUAAGACAGAGGUGAAAUCCCCGGGCUCAACCUGGGAACUGCCUUUGUGACUGCAAGGCUAGAGUACGGCAGAGGGGGAUGGAAUUCCGCGUGUAGCAGUGAAAUGCGUAGAUAUGCGGAGGAACACCGAUGGCGAAGGCAAUCCCCUGGGCCUGUACUGACGCUCAUGCACGAAAGCGUGGGGAGCAAACAGGAUUAGAUACCCCGGUAGUCCCUGUCUCUUAUAC